This 411-nucleotide ribosomal RNA is filed under the name Macaca nigra (Celebes crested macaque). RNAcentral's name for it is "partial 12S ribosomal RNA". It matches the Rfam family "Bacterial small subunit ribosomal RNA", at positions 925 to 1523 of the family's 1533-position model. The record is from RNAcentral. Lineage: Eukaryota; Metazoa; Chordata; Mammalia; Primates; Cercopithecidae.
CCCUAGAGGAGCCUGUUCCAUAAUCGAUAAACCCCGAUCCACCUCACCCUCUCUUGCUUAGCCUAUAUACCGCCAUCUUCAGCAAACCCUGAUAAAGGUUACAAAGUGAGCACAAACGCCCCGCCGCCGCAAAAACGUUAGGUCAAGGUGUAGCCCAUGAGAGGGUAAAAAUGGGCUACAUUUUCUACAUCAGAAAACCCCACGAAAACUCUUAUGAAACCUGAGAGUCCAAGGAGGAUUUAGCAGUAAAUUAAGAAUAGAGUGCUUAAUUGAACCAGGCCAUAAAGCGCGUACACACCGCCCGUCACUCCCCUCAAAUAUAUUUAAGGAACAUCUUAACUAAACACCCCAGUAUUUAUAUAGAGGGGAUAAGUCGUAACAUGGUAAGUGUACUGGAAGGUGCACUUGGAU